UAAAUUUUCAUUCAAAGUGAGAUUGGGCACAACCCACUUUGCUUUUCUUCUAUCUUCUAGGGUUUUUUCAGAAGGGACCCGAAUGAAAGACUAGAAACUUACAAGACGAUCGACGGGUAGAAGUAGAACAAGUACGGCGAGAAGAUUACGAUAUCUUUUCCAAACGAUAUGCGAUGGAAGGCAAUCAGAAGAAUAACAAACAGGUAAUCAUUGGUAAUUUUGUGGGGUUUUGAGAGGUUCGAUCUGCUUCGGAUGCUACGAUUUUUGCAAAAAAGUUUAAAGGAAAUGAGAGACUUACAAUUUCCGGUACAAGUAUAUAAUUGAUCUAAAGAGACUUAGACGAAAGGCUAGACUAGGCUCUGUUUCAAAGCAGAACAGAGAUGCAAGAUUUUGGAUUGGAUGACUUACCUGUCAGGUACCUUGUUUACAAUUUAAUAUGUGAUCUUAUAUAUACUUGUAGGUUCUGUUGACUUAAAAAGUAAGUGAACAUUAUCAUGUAUUAUUUCUAGGGUUAUUUAUUUUAGGCAUAAAAUUGUGUUAUGGCUUUAUCUACAGGAAUGAUAUAUGUUUUCUUUUAUUGUCUACCUCUAUUAUUUUUAACUUUUCUUUAUUCAUUUUAUUAUUAUUAAUUCUUAUUAUUUUUUAUUAUUUUAUUUUAUUUUUUAGAUUCCUCAAUUGAGAUAGAUAUGCCUAUGUUACAGGCACUAUUCUGAAAUUAUAAAGUAUCUGCGAUUGUGCAUCGAACCCUCAAUAAUUAGAUAGAGGUAUGGAAAGUAUAUUUUGUAAUUUAAUUUUAUUGUAAAACUAUGCUGAAACUCUCAAAAUAUGAUGAAAUGGUCUAUGAGACCUUCUAAACGAAAUAUAUAUUUAAUUAUAUAAAUGGUUAGUUAAGUUCCCGUGUAGUUGACAUGGAAAUUAAUUGAAUAUGAUGAUACUUAGACACCUAUAAGUUUUAGGAGUACGGAGAGUAUAUCUAGAUUUUGGAAGUAUAUAAGUUAUUUGUUUUGAAAUCCAUGAAAAUUUUGGAUUGUUCAAUUGGAAGGAUAAACACUCUUACCUUUUGGUAUUUUCUUCUAAUCUUCAAUGAAACAGACUGCAACUUCUUCUGGUUCAAAUUUCUUUUAAUUGAAAACUUGGUUUCCUACCUUCAAUUCUUCAUGAUAGAAAUUAUUAGUAGAUGUUGGAUUGCAUUACUUUGCCUGAUCAUAGGAAAAUAUAAAUUUUUUUGAAUGACUAGCUUGUAUCAUGAUCGGAAUCCUUGUUGCUGAAGAUUAUUAGCUGAUAUCCAACAAAUCUGGUCAAUAUUAGGAUCUUUCAAUUAGUACUGCACCAGUUAAAAUUUUGAAGUUAAAAUUGCAUAUUUUCAUUAUCUCAUGAAUUCAUUAUAUUGGAAGAGUUUUCUGGAUGGAUUCAGUCACAAUUUCAAUCAAUACUGCAUAAGACGGGUCUUUUAACUUUCUUAAAUCUCUUCAGUUAUAUCAUCAACUCAGUACAUUGCAAGAUAUGUUUGAAUGGCUUCAAUCAUAAAAUCAAUAAGGACUUGUUAAGGAGCACAACAUUAACAUUCCAUGCCAUAACCAUUCAUGUUAUGGGAUUUCAAUUUUGGAUGUCAUUUGUUUUGUUGAAACUAUACCAAACUUGAUAAUUUAUUCUCAUCAUUUUCUUCAUGUUCUUACAAGUAUUGUUUGUCUCGCUAUAAUUUAUUGCCUAACUAAUCUUCCAAACUGACUCUUGCACAUUUUGUGAAGAUAUCCAAGCAUCAUUUCGAUACUUUACAGUGUGUGAUAUUUGGCAAAGAAGACACUCUAUUAUCAUUGGAUUGCUUCCUUGCUGGAUUGAAACCUUUGUAGCGUGAAUCACUUGGAUACUUUUCAUCGAUUGAUAUUUAGCAAAAGAAAAUGCAUGCAUAUACUUCUUUUAGAAAACUACCCUAUACGUUGGGAUGCCCGAAAAUUUAUAAUUAUUACAGAUAAACGAUAGCAGAGGAGAGUUUUAGAUUACGAAAUGUAGCACACUAAAAAUAGUUUUCAUGAUUUUGGACGAAUGACAGGAACCGGUAUUCAACUACUACCCAAACUGUAAAUGUGUUGGGUGGGGCCCUGGUUGUGGAGGAAAUAAUGGGAAGAAGGCUCCAAUGGCCACAGUGAUGGAGCGAUACAUCGACAGAGGCAACCAAACAUAGAAAGAUUUAUUUCCCUGUUCUUUUUCCCAUGCAUUCCUCUAAUUUUGUUUAUUCCAUUUCCCCAUUUGUGCGUCCCCCGUUUGUGUGUUCACUUUGCAUAUUGAGUUUUUUUUUUCAGUUAGAUGGAAUUCGGUUUGAUUUUUUGGGCUUUUUUUGUUUAGGCUAAUUUUUUGGGCCUCUAGAAAAAAAUCCACUUAAUGAUCAUAUUUCAAACUAAAAAAUAUAGCAAACCAAUUGAGAUUAAAAAAAAAGUAGAAUAUGUGGUGGCUUGUAUAAUUUCGGUUCGGUUUGGUUUGGUUUUAAAUGAUUUGAGAGACCAUAAAACCGGAUCUAACCCAAAAAAUUCGAUUUUUAAAAAUCUAAAACCAAAUCGAUUGACCAGCUCUACAAAACCAAACCGAACUUAAUUUUUCAGUUGGUUUGAUUUUCUCGGUUUUUCGUAUACUCAUAAUUUCUAAUCAUAUAUGGUUUGCUAUGGUGCAUCAUGAAUAUUGAUUAACCAUACAUGAUCCAAGGAUUUACUUUCAUGUUCCGACAUAAUAUGUGGAAAACAAAAGUAUUUAUGGUUUAUUGAGCUAUUAAAAUUUCAAUUUGUUGUAUUCGGCCUAGGUGGUCGUGUGCCUUGCACAUGCUACUCUCCCUGGUAUUUGUGCAAGUAUAUAGACUAAUUGAUACAAUCUCAUGGAAUGGGCUUAGUAGGCAAUGCAGGUUCAACAUUUUCUUUGUAGUUUUCUGUAUUUUUUUCUUCAGGGUUCAAAAUGUUGCUCAUUAUAUUUGAUAUUUGAGAAAAUUGUGAGAAGGUUGGCAUGUUCCCAUGGGAUGGAUUGUCUGUGUUAACUUGGACUAGCUGUGCAGUUCACGAAAAAGUGCAGUAUAGAGGCUUUGAAAGAAUUGCCCUUCUCAUUUCUUUAUGUACAGAGUACCAAAUGCUGUACUAAUGUUCUAUAUUGAAGUGAAUGCUGAAUCAGCUCGGCUUCCCUUCUCACAAUUUUUUUCUUCAGGGUUCAAAAUUUUGCUCAUUAUAUUUGAUAUUUGAGAAAAUUGUGAGAAGGUUGGCAUGUUUCCAUGGGAUGGAUUGCCUGUGUUAACUUGGACUAGCUGUGCAGUUCACGAAAAAGUGCAGUAUAGAGGCUUUGAAAGAAUUGCCCUUCUCAUUUCUUUAUGUACAGAGUACCAAAUGCUGUACUAAUGUUCUAUAUUGAAGUGAAUGCUGAAUCAGCUCGGCUCUUUGUAGGCUCACGAGUAUCAAACGAUGUUGGCGGGACCCUCUCCGUGAUAGAAAGUUUAUGCAACCUCUUGCUUUUGGUUCCAGGUCAUUGAUUUUUUCUCCCUAAAAUGUUUUAAGGUCUUUAAAGGCUCUGUGUCACAAAUGUUAAUGGUGUUCCAAGUCUUUCUCUGCAUCCAUGCUGAAUUGUGAAUUCGUUAACGUGACUAGUGAGCAACAUAUGGCUGAUUGAAAAAAGAGAUAGUGCUGUGUGGUUAAUUAUUGAACUUGCAUAAAUUAUUAAGUGCUUUUCGUUACUCCCAGAAUUGGGAUCUAUUACCGACAUGAAUGUGGAAACUGUUCUUAGUAACUUCUUACGUUAGGAAAAUAUUUUUAUAAACCUAACCUGGUUGCCUGCCAGUGAAAUCAGUUGUACUGCAAAAUGAUAAAAGAGAAGGCGAUGCUCAGGAAGGACUUGUAUGCUAUGUAACACCACUUGAGAAGGCCAUGCUCAGGUGGGUAUCCAUUGUUAGACCUUUCUAAACCCUAAUCUUAGGAGACUAGGCUAUUUAUCCAAAAGUUUGGUAUGGGUGUGAAAUCCCCGAACACUUACAUAUUGCAUGUUGCAGUAUAUUUUGCGAUAAGAUGUUGUAAAUUACUUUGAACUAUAAUUGAAAUUGAAUGAACUUUGAACUAUAAUUGAAAUUGAAUGGGAUUUCGUGAAAUGAGAAAUUUCUAUUUUUCAUUCAUAUGAGAGGUUAAAAAUGUUUAUCUAUUAGUGAAUAUGAGCUUCUUUUCUUCAACCGUCGUAAAAAUUAGAGGAUUCAAGUGGCUAAAUUGGAUACAAGUAUUGAACAGAUACUUACUCUUGUCAAUUUUAGUGGACACAGGUACUUUGGGAGAAAUAGAAAAGUCCAUUAAACACAACUUAUAAGGAGUAGGACACUUCCAACUUGGACGCUGCCUUUUGGGGCAAGAACCCUAAGGGAGAAAUUACAAGGCCAUUUGUGGGACUGUACCAAAGCAGACAAUAUUUCUAGGUGGGGAAUGGGUCAACACAUUUUUCAUGGUUCAGUCAAGUUGAGCGAGCGAUUCACUCACAUGUUUGCUUUAAUGUCCGUAUACGGUUGACUUUGACUAGUAACCCUUCCUACUGACCAAGCAUAACGUCCUAUUUUACGUUGAAGGUAAUCCUGGACAAGGAGCAACUUAUUAUAUUCCAAGGAGCGUGUUGGCCCUCAUUAAUUACCAUUCAUGUUGAGAUUUUGCUCUUUGAAUUGAAAUCUUUCUGUCAAUCAUUUAUUCAAAUUGGUUUAAUGUUUUAAGACAAUGGUGUAGGAUGUCAUCGAACAUGAGGACAAAUGUGUUAUCUGCAAUAGUUUAUUUGGAAGCAACCAUAUCUCAAUUUAAGCUCCCAUACCAUGCAAACCAGGAAGAGGUACUUCUAUAAUGUUAGCUAGCCUUGUUGUUGUGGUUUUACAUUUUCAGUCAUGACGCCAAUUUCAAUUCAAUUUGAAAUUGGAAGGGGAAUUUUAAGUUCUAGAAUUUUUCAAGACUAGGUGGAUUUCUUUUUUUUUUUGAAAAAAUUAAAUCGGCA
Molecule: long non-coding RNA, 4983 nt
Filed under: Actinidia chinensis (golden kiwifruit)
Lineage: Eukaryota; Viridiplantae; Streptophyta; Magnoliopsida; Ericales; Actinidiaceae
Description: long non-coding RNA (ACHI_LNC002904)
Source: RNAcentral